This 2655-nucleotide long non-coding RNA is filed under the name Canis lupus familiaris (dog). Its description in RNAcentral is "lncRNA (ENSCAFG00845020305.1)". Lineage: Eukaryota; Metazoa; Chordata; Mammalia; Carnivora; Canidae. The record is from RNAcentral.
UUUUUUUCUUUUGUAAUGUGGGGAAAGGUACUUAGAAAAAAGAAAGUCAAAUGGAUGGAACUAGAAGACAUUACGCUAAGCAAACUAAGUCAAUCAGAGAAAGACAAUUAUCGUAUGAUCUCACUCGUGUAGAAUUAAGAAACAAAACAGAGGAGCAUAGAGAAAGGGAGGGAAAAAUAAAACAAGAUGAAAUCAGAGAAAGAGACAAACAGUAAGAGACUGUUAAUCACAGGAGACACACUGAGGGUCACUGGAGGGGCGUUGGGGGGAUGGGGUAACUGGGUGAUGAACAUUAAGAAGGGCACGUGAUGCAAUGACGGAUAAAUCACUGACCUCUACCUCUGAAACUAAUAAUACACUAUAUGUUAACUAAUUGAAUUUAAAUAAAAAUAAAUAAUUUUUUAAAAAAAACGAAAAAGAAAGUAAAAAAUCUGGCAGAGCACAGACAGACAUCAUAGAGUUGGGUUAGCCCAGAGGAUGUAUGGAACUUGGGUUCCAGGAGAUCUAUGCCCUUUGAGCUAUCCAUGCCCCUAUAGUUUCCACAGACUCCCAGAGGCAUCCAUACCCCAGUUGAAAGACAGCUAAUGACCUCACGCAGUCCCUGGCACCUAGGACAAACCCCACAAAAUCAGAUUUCAGUAUCAUCUGGCCCCAGAGAAUGCAUUGCCACAUAUAUACCUAGACCCUCAUUCUACUCAUCCCCCAACAACAACAACAACAGCAACCAACCUAGGUAAAAAGACUAGAACAUUAUCAGGUUAACAGGUGCAAUGAAAAAUUAAAAUAUACUGAGCUGAAGGAAAGAAAUGUAUUUUAACCCCCCAGCAGGGAAGGUGCUCAUUCCCUGCUCCUUUGCAUGCCUUAUUAAUGAUGAUGACUGUUUAAUCACAUCCCCCGGUGGGGGGGGGAACAUCUUGUUCCCAUUCAUUAGGUCACAAUAACUUUUUUGUUCAUCCAAAGUGCUUAGGAUAAGGUUCAGUGCCUAAUGUCACUGACAACACUUCUAAUUGAAAUCCCAUCUGAAACAUUGCACCUACAUAAUGGAGACCAGCCAAAUAAUUCCAUGCCUUUCAUAACGUCUUCUCCUUGCUCCUGCUCUAAGCUCUUGUACCUAACUCAACAGCAAGCCCAUUUUCUGAAGUGUUUAGACUGCUCAGCAAUUGGGUGUCACCGUGACCCAAGAUUUGCUGUGCAAAAGUAAAUGUUGGUUGAAUGAAUGCAUGCAGGCAUGCAUGAAUGAAUGGGUGAGGAACAAAUGAAUCAAGAGUGUAAGGCCACAAAGGAUUUGAUUCCCCCGGCGCCAUAGAAAAUCAGAAUGAGAACACUCCUCAAGUGUUUUAAUCCUUCUUGCUAAGCACAGCCUUGACUUGGUUGACACUAAUUAAGUCCUCAGCAAUAGCUAAUGAACUGUUCAAUAAAACUAACCAACCUUACAUCGUGACCCCAGAAAAGGUCAAAUGAGUCAAUGACCCAGCUCCACGGCCAGGUAGCAAAGUCCUGAGAGCUGUCCCUCAGAUGUCCCUCGACAGGAUGGCUCUGCCACACAGCGUCAGGCUCAGCAAUCAUUUGGAUUCAUUGCUUUCCCGCCGUGUGGAUGAAUGCACACAACCAUUUUCCAAACCACACGCUUCAUCCCUCGUGAGUCUGAUCUACUGAGCCUCCACUGAGGGUCCUUCUGCUCUUCCAGAUCCUUCCCUUUGCUCAAAGGAACACCCCAAGCCCCCACCCUUUGACCUCCUAGCAACACUGUGAUUUCCUUGAUUUUGACAAUUAAUCUCAUCCUUAAAAAUAAAAAGAUAGUAAGCAGAUGCCAACGAGAAAUAAACAGCAAAACUUUCUGUGAAUUGCAGAGAACAAUGAUUCUCUUAGGAAGGUUUUGUGUCUGCCCCCUCUGUCUCUCAGCGCAAGUGUAUCACUUACUACCCUUAUCUUAGGAUACAACCCAGACGAGCAAGUCAUUCUCCAAUCAACCAACUUUCAGCCAAGUCUGAAAUGUUGACUGUGUCUGGAGAUUGCACUAGUUUAGUUAUUUUUUAGCACUUUGGCCUGUCAUAAAAACAUUCUCUCAAAUCCCAGUAUUUUUCCUACCCUCGCAUAAUAACUUCGAAAUGUAUUAUUGCUGAGAAACCGCAUUCUCUCUGCCAACAAGUCCCCAGAGGGAAGCUCUAGCAGAAGAAAAGAAGUUUUUACAAUCACUUCAUGAGAGAAAGUCACUCAUCCACUGGACCUAAUCAAGUUUUCCAAGACAUGGGCCACAGCUGACACCCAGAGCUACAUUCUUUGUAUUUGUGCUUUUUCGUUUCCUUUCCUUUAAAAAGAAAUGGCAAAAACCUAUGCUUUUUCUUCCAUGGCAAAACAUAAUGGGCAAAGCGAGCACUGCCACUGUGGGAGUGCUAAUGGAGAUUCUAGCCUGUAAGUAAAAAGACUUACCAGGACCAGAGGACUAAUUAACAGGUCAGCCAGUAAUGCACUAACGCAGGAGGAAAUGUGUAUUUAAAAAACAGGGCUGAACAUGUACUGCAGGCUGCUGCUGACUUUACAGCUGCUCUUAUGGCCUCGUGCAAGAGCAUUAACAUGAGGCAGGGAAGAAGGGGACCUCAGUCCCAGCCCCAAUUAAUGUGUCCCUGUCUCCUCCAUAAAUCAUGGGGUAUGUAC